UACGUAGGGAGCAAGCGUUGUCCGGAAUCAUUGGGCGUAAAGCGCGCGUAGGUGGCCCCAUAAGUCCGCUGUGAAAGUCAAAGGCUCAACCUUUGAAAGCCGGUGGAUACUGUGGGACUAGAGUACGGAAGAGGCGAGUGGAAUUCCUGGUGUAGCGGUGGAAUGCGCAGAUAUCAGGAGGAACACCGGUGGCGAAGGCGGCGAUCUGGCCCAACAUUGACACUGAGACCCGAAAGUGCGGGGAUCAAACAGG
Molecule: ribosomal RNA, 253 nt
Filed under: uncultured bacterium
Lineage: Bacteria
Description: partial 16S ribosomal RNA
Rfam family: Bacterial small subunit ribosomal RNA
Source: RNAcentral